This 799-nucleotide ribosomal RNA is filed under the name uncultured marine bacterium. RNAcentral describes it as "bacterial SSU rRNA". It matches the Rfam family "Bacterial small subunit ribosomal RNA", at positions 123 to 957 of the family's 1533-position model. The record is from RNAcentral.
AACAUACCCUUUUCUACGGAAUAGCCUCGGGAAACUGAGAGUAAUACCGUAUACGCCCUUUGGGGGAAAGAUUUAUCGGUAUGGGAUUAGCCCGCGUAAGAUUAGAUAGUUGGUGGGGUAAUGGCCUACCAAGUCUACGAUCUUUAGCUGGUUUUAGAGGAUGAUCAGCAACACUGGGACUGAGACACGGCCCAGACUCCUACGGGAGGCAGCAGUGGGGAAUCUUAGACAAUGGGCGCAAGCCUGAUCUAGCCAUGCCGCGUGAGUGAAGAAGGCCUUAGGGUCGUAAAACUCUUUCGCCAGAGAUGAUAAUGACAGUAUCUGGUAAAGAAACCCCGGCUAACUCCGUGCCAGCAGCCGCGGUAAUACGGAGGGGGUUAGCGUUGUUCGGAAUUACUGGGCGUAAAGCGCACGUAGGCGGACUGGAAAGUUGGGGGUGAAAUCCCGGGGCUCAACCUCGGAACUGCCUCCAAAACUAUCAGUCUAGAGUUCGAGAGAGGUGAGUGGAAUUCCAAGUGUAGAGGUGAAAUUCGUAGAUAUUUGGAGGAACACCAGUGGCGAAGGCGGCUCACUGGCUCGAUACUGACGCUGAGGUGCGAAAGUGUGGGGAGCAAACAGGAUUAGAUACCCUGGUAGUCCACACCGUAAACGAUGAAUGCCAGUCGUCGGCAAGUAUACUUGUCGGUGACACACCUAACGGAUUAAGCAUUCCGCCUGGGGAGUACGGUCGCAAGAUUAAAACUCAAAGGAAUUGACGGGGGCCCGCACAAGCGGUGGAGCAUGUGGUUUAAUUCGAAGC